RNAcentral lists this ribosomal RNA (420 nucleotides) under uncultured bacterium. Its description in RNAcentral is "bacterial SSU rRNA". It matches the Rfam family "Bacterial small subunit ribosomal RNA", at positions 356 to 773 of the family's 1533-position model. The record is from RNAcentral.
GAGGAAUAUUGCGCAAUGGAGGCAACUCUGACGCAGCCAUGCCGCGUGCAGGAAGAAGGCGCUACGCGUUGUAAACUGCUUUUAACCGGGAAGAAACCCCAGGACGUGUCCUGGGUUGACGGUACCGGAGGAAUAAGCACCGGCUAACUUCGUGCCAGCAGCCGCGGUAAUACGAAGGGUGCAAGCGUUAUCCGGAUUCAUUGGGUUUAAAGGGUGCGUAGGUGGGGCGUUAAGUCAGUGGUGAAAGCCCGCAGCUCAACUGUGGAAUUGCCAUUGAUACUGGCGCUCUUGAGUGCGCUUGAAGUAGGCGGAAUGUGCCGUGUAGCGGUGAAAUGCUUAGAUAUGGCACAGAACACCAAUUGCGAAGGCAGCUUACUAAGGCGAUACUGACGCUGAGGCACGAAAGCGUGGGGAUCAAAC